AGCGAACGCUGGCGGCAGGCUUAACACAUGCAAGUCGAGCGGGCCCUUCGGGGUCAGCGGCGGACGGGUGAGUAACGCGUGGGAACGUGCCUUCUGGUCUGGAAUAACCCUGGGAAACUAGGGCUAAUACCGGAUACGCCCUUUCGGGGAAAGGUUUACUGCCGGAAGAUCGGCCCGCGUCUGAUUAGCUAGUUGGUGGGGUAACGGCCUACCAAGGCGACGAUCAGUAGCUGGUCUGAGAGGAUGAUCCGCCACGCUGGCGCUGAGACACGGCCCAGACUCCUACGGGAGGGAGGAGUGGGGAAUAUUGGACGAUGGGCGCUAGCCUGAUCCAGCCAUGCCGGGUGAGUGAUGAAGGCCUUAGGGUUGUAAAGCUCUUUUAUCCGGGACGAUAAUGACGGUACUGGAGGAAUAAGCCCCGGCUAACUUCGUG
RNAcentral lists this ribosomal RNA (433 nucleotides) under uncultured bacterium. RNAcentral describes it as "partial 16S ribosomal RNA". It matches the Rfam family "Bacterial small subunit ribosomal RNA", at positions 28 to 507 of the family's 1533-position model. The record is from RNAcentral.